AACGUACGCUGGCGGCACGCCUAACACAUGCAAGUCGAGCGAUCUCUUCGGAGAUAGCGGCGCACGGGUGAGGAACGCGUGGGAACGUACCAUUUAGUACGGAAUAGCCCCGGGAAACUGGGAUUAAUACCGUAUACGCCCUGAGGGGGAAAGAGUUUAUCGCUAAAUGAUCGGCCCGCGUUAGAUUAGCUUGUUGGUGAGGUAAUGGCUCACCAAGGCUACGAUCUAUAGCUGGUUUGAGAGGAUGAUCAGCCACACUGGGACUGAGACACGGCCCAGACUCCUACGGGAGGCAGCAGUGAGGAAUAUUGGACAAUGGGGGAAACCCUGAUCCAGCCAUGCCGCGUGUGUGAUGAAGGCCCUAGGGUUGUAAAGCACUUUCAUUGGUGAAGAUAAUGACGGUAACCAAAGAAGAAGCCCCGGCUAACUUCGUG
This 434-nucleotide ribosomal RNA is filed under the name uncultured bacterium. RNAcentral's name for it is "bacterial SSU rRNA". It matches the Rfam family "Bacterial small subunit ribosomal RNA", at positions 29 to 507 of the family's 1533-position model. The record is from RNAcentral.